AAGUCGUAACAAGGUUUCCGUAGGUGAACCUGCGGAAGGAUCAUUAAUGAUUUUUAAAGCGAGUCGAGCAUUAAGCGAGGCUUGCGAAAAUAUUUAAAACCCCACUCUUUUUAACUAAAAAAAUAAAUCAUGAUACAUGAAUUUGAAAAAAAAGAUCACUUUCAACAACGGAUCUCUUGGCUCUC
Molecule: unclassified non-coding RNA, 185 nt
Filed under: Funneliformis sp.
Lineage: Eukaryota; Fungi; Glomeromycota; Glomeromycetes; Glomerales; Glomeraceae
Description: partial internal transcribed spacer region
Rfam family: Eukaryotic small subunit ribosomal RNA (bases 1-46)
Source: RNAcentral